Molecule: long non-coding RNA, 1322 nt
Filed under: Equus caballus (horse)
Lineage: Eukaryota; Metazoa; Chordata; Mammalia; Perissodactyla; Equidae
Description: lncRNA (ENSECAG00000056603.1)
Source: RNAcentral
CCUGAGCAACCCUGGCAACCAUCUUUGCAGGGACUCUUCAGUGGGCACAGGGCCUGGAUCGUCAGCUGAGCAGUUGGGGCAGUGUUGCAUUUGAGCAACAAUGACCGCACCCCAUUCUGAUGACCAAGGCAAUAACGCUUGGUAAGCCUCUCAUGCCUGGCUCCAUAUUUCCCUAGGAAGAGGUCUCUUUCAAAUGAGGCACCACAUGCUUCUUGUAAAUAGACUUCCUUAUAGCCACUCCUCCAGCUUGCCAGACACACCCAGCCAUACCUGAGUCGUCUGCAAUGGACAAGACGAAAUCUUGAUCAACCCUGUACAACCAUGUGCCGUUUUUCCUAUUUGUAAGCCUUAUUUGUACUUAUAGGAUCACAAAGUACUUGAGAUCAGAGACCAUGUCUUCUACUUCUUUUCUAUCUGUAACGCUAGCAUAGUCUCAGAACUAUCCUAACAUUAAGCAAAACAAACCUAUAUAACCUUUUAUAGUUUACAAAGUACUCUUGUAAACAUUAUCUCAUUUAGUUUUUACAACAACCCUGGAGUUAGGUUGUUAUUAUCCUCAUUUGCAGAUGAGACAUCCCAAGUUGUCCAAGGUCACCAAGAUACCCAGUGGUGGAGCUGAGCCUUGAAUUACCAUUAACUGACUCUAGUGCAGGUCUCUUUCCAUUACUCCACAGCUGGCACAUCAGGGACCAGCUACAGUGCUUAUACUCUCAAUUGAGCUGCCACCUUUCCUCUAUUUGACCCCUUCUCAUCUUCCACAUUCCGGCAGGAAGGAUGAAAGAGGACUGAAGACCAACCGUUUUUACUGCAUCCCUUUUCUUUCCUUUUUCAACUUACUCUCUUGUAUGUGAGGUCUUUUCUUGCUUGGACCUCUGAGACCGCGCUAUGGACCGAAUGUCUGUGCCCUCCCAAAAUUCAUAUAUUGAAGCCUCAACCCCCAAUGUGAUGGUAUUUGGAGGUGGGGCCUUUGGGAGGUAGUUAGGUUUAGAAGCGAUCAUGAGAAUGGGUUCCCCAUGAUGGGAUUAGUGUCCUUAUAAGAAAAAGACCUGAGCUGUCUCUUGCUCUCCUUGAGGUGAGGACACAGCCAGAUGGCAGCUGUCUGCAAGUCAGGAAGAAACACCUCGUCCUGGAACCAAAUCAGCUGGCACCUUCAUCUUGGAUUUCCCAGCCUCUGGAACUGUAGGAAAUAAAUUCCUGUUGUUUGAGCCACCCAGUCUAUGUAUUUUUAUGGCAGCCGGAGCUGACUAAUACAGACCUCAUUGCCCAUUCUUUCUUUGUCUUUGACUCCUAGGUCUUUAGCCUGCUAUAAUCAUGGAAAGAAG